AUUGAACGCUGGCGGCAGGCCUAACACAUGCAAGUCGAGCGGCAGCGACUUAACUGAACCUUCGGGGAACGUUAAGGGCGGCGAGCGGCGGACGGGUGAGUAAUGUCUGGGAAUAUGCCCUGAUGUGGGGGAUAACUAUUGGAAACGAUAGCUAAUACCGCAUAAUCUCUUCGGAGCAAAGAGGGGGACCUUCGGGCCUCUCGCGUCAGGAUUAGCCCAGGUGGGAUUAGCUUGUUGGUGAGGUAAUGGCUCACCAAGGCAACGAUCCCUAGCUGGUCUGAGAGGAUGAUCAGCCACACUGGAACUGAGACACGGUCCAGACUCCUACGGGAGGCAGCAGUGGGGAAUAUUGCACAAUGGGGGAAACCCUGAUGCAGCCAUGCCGCGUGUGUGAAGAAGGCCUUCGGGUUGUAAAGCACUUUCAGUAGGGAGGAAGGUAGUGUAGUUAACACCUGCACUAUUUGACGUUACCUACAGAAGAAGCACCGGCUAACUCCGUGCCAGCAGCCGCGGUAAUACGGAGGGUGCGAGCGUUAAUCGGAAUUACUGGGCGUAAAGCGCAUGCAGGCGGCCUGUUAAGUCAGAUGUGAAAGCCCGGGGCUUAACCUCGGAAUUGCAUUUGAAACUGGCAGGCUAGAGUCUUGUAGAGGGGGGUAGAAUUUCAGGUGUAGCGGUGAAAUGCGUAGAGAUCUGAAGGAAUACCAGUGGCGAAGGCGGCCCCCUGGACAAAGACUGACGCUCAGAUGCGAAAGCGUGGGGAGCAAACAGG
RNAcentral lists this ribosomal RNA (769 nucleotides) under uncultured bacterium. Its description in RNAcentral is "bacterial SSU rRNA". It matches the Rfam family "Bacterial small subunit ribosomal RNA", at positions 28 to 776 of the family's 1533-position model. The record is from RNAcentral.